CCUACGGGUGGCAGCAGUGAGGAAUAUUGGUCAAUGGGCGCGAGCCUGAACCAGCCACGCCGCGUGAGUGAUGACUGCCCUCCGGGUGGUAAACUCUUUUUAUAAAGAAAUAAAGUGAGGCACGUGUGCCUUUUUGUCUGUACUUUAUGAAUAAGGAACGGCUAACGCCGUGCCAGCAGCCGCGGUAAUACGGAGGAUGCGAGCGUUAUCCGGAUUUAUUGGGGUUAAAGGGAGCGUAGAUGGGUUGUUAAGUCAGUUGUGAAAGGUUGCGGCUCAACCGUAAAAGUGCAAUUGAUACUGGCAGUCUUGAGUACAGUAGAGGUAGGUGGAAUUCGUGGUGUAGCGGUGAAAUGCGUAGAUAUAAGGAAGAACACCGAUUGCGAAGGCAGCUUACUAAACUGCCACUGACAUUGAUGCUCGAAAGUGUGGGGAUCAAACAGGAUUAGAUACCCGAGUAGUC
RNAcentral lists this ribosomal RNA (460 nucleotides) under uncultured bacterium. RNAcentral describes it as "partial 16S ribosomal RNA". It matches the Rfam family "Bacterial small subunit ribosomal RNA", at positions 338 to 795 of the family's 1533-position model. The record is from RNAcentral.